RNAcentral lists this ribosomal RNA (140 nucleotides) under Bacillus cereus. RNAcentral's name for it is "partial 16S ribosomal RNA". It matches the Rfam family "Bacterial small subunit ribosomal RNA", at positions 1 to 134 of the family's 1533-position model. The record is from RNAcentral. Lineage: Bacteria; Bacillati; Bacillota; Bacilli; Caryophanales; Bacillaceae.
UUUAUUGGAGAGUUUGAUCCUGGCUCAGGAUGAACGCUGGCGGCGUGCCUAAUACAUGCAAGUCGAGCGAAUGGAUUGAGAGCUUGCUCUCAAGAAGUUAGCGGCGGACGGGUGAGUAACACGUGGGUAACCUGCCCAUA